AUAUCAAUAAGCGGAGGAAAAGAAACCAACAGGGAUUGCCUUAGUAACGGCGAGUGAAGCGGCAAUAGCUCAAAUUUGAAAUCUGGCACCUUUGGGUGUCCGAGUUGUAAUUUGUAGAGGAUGUUUCGGUAUUGCCACUAAUCUAAGUCCCUUGGAACAGGGUGUCAUAGAGGGUGAGAGUCCCGUAUGUGAUUAGUUGUCUUUGCCAUGUGAAACUCCUUCGACGAGUCGAGUUGUUUGGGAAUGCAGCUCUAAUUGGGAGGUAAAUUUCUUCUAAAGCUAAAUACUGGCCAGAGACCGAUAGCGCACAAGUAGAGUGAUCGAAAGAUGAAAAGCACUUUGGAAAGAGAGUUAAACAGUACGUGAAAUUGUUGAAAGGGAAGCGCUUGCAAUCAGACCUGCUUGCAGUUAUUCAUCUAAACUUUCGGGUUUAGUGCAUUUUUCUGUAAGUCAGGCCAGUAUCAGUUCAGGCGGUUGGAUAAAGAAUUCAGGAAUGUAGCUCCUUUCGGGGAGUGUUAUAGCCUGUUUUGUAAUGCAACCAGCCUGGAUUGAGGACCGCGCUUCGGCUAGGAUACUGGCGUAAUGGUUGUAAGCGG
This 596-nucleotide ribosomal RNA is filed under the name uncultured fungus. Its description in RNAcentral is "eukaryotic LSU rRNA". It matches the Rfam family "Eukaryotic large subunit ribosomal RNA", at positions 40 to 647 of the family's 3401-position model. The record is from RNAcentral. Lineage: Eukaryota; Fungi.